Molecule: long non-coding RNA, 1662 nt
Organism: Nematostella vectensis (starlet sea anemone)
Lineage: Eukaryota; Metazoa; Cnidaria; Anthozoa; Actiniaria; Edwardsiidae
Exons: 2
Source: RefSeq, a predicted model, not a curated record
GAAUUGAUAAACAAUUUACUGUUUCAACAGAUUCGGAUUAUACAGCAAAUCAAAGUGCGUUUUCGAACGCAGAACGUGCAAUCUGUAAUAUAGGUGAACUCGAAAAAUACCAUCGUGUUUCGAAGCAAUCACAUACGGAAAACCCCUUUAAUAAAGCAAACCUCUAACUACUGAAACAUCAAGCACGCAAAAUGUUUUGUUCAUUUCACAGAGAUCGGACAUAGCCAUGCGUUAUACUUCUCGAUAGACACUCAAGAGUAGGCUUUGAAAACAAACCGGAAACUGUGCGUUUUAAAGACGCAGGCUAGUCAAUAGUGUGAAAGAAUCUAAUUUUCGGUACGAGAAACACAUUAUGACGUUUGUAAUUGGUUGUUAGAAGACGAGGUUGAUACAACUUUCUUAUUCAAACAUCAAAAGCAAGCUGUUAUGAGUUGAUUUACGUCUAGUUAUGUGCUUUAGGAAAGCACCCGACUCCGGGACAGAUGGAGCACCAAAGGUUGAGCUCUCUGUUGGUGGUCAUAUGAUAUGAAAAACUGCCAUCUUGUAAGCUAGGAGAUAAGGCCCGAACAAACCGGAAAGUGUGCGUUUUAAAGACGCAGGCUAGUCAAUAGUGUAGAAGAAUCUAAUUUUCGGUACAAGAAACACAUGGCGCUUGUAAUUGCUUGUAAGAACAUGAUAUAAUUUUUCUUGUUCAAACAUCAAAGCAAGCUGUUAUUAGUUGAUUUAUAGUUGAUUUACGUCUUUAAAGCUAGUUAUGUGCUUUUGGUUUGCUUAAUUUUGGGUAUAAGUUCAUAAUAUUUCCUACAUUCAUGUCACCUUCCUGGGUUUACAUUCAAAGUAGUGGACUACAAUUUAUUUCAUUGAGCAUUUUUGUAUAUAGUUUGGUGAGCUUGAGUUUAAGCAGGGUAUAAAUAACAAUGUCAAGUAAUUUAUCCCUUAGGAUAAAACCAAUCGCAUGUCUAUUAGUGCGUUCGAAAAUGCAACGGUCUAGAUAUUCAUGCAAGCACGAGAUCAAGAGACAGAUAUAGGCAUGGAAAGCCAGUGAAAAUAUUAUAUCCUCGCAAACUUUAAACACCGCCAGAUUACUAUUUUCCAAAAGUAGUUGUUUAUUCGAGAACUAGACAUUUUGUUGCCAAUAAACAGUGAACAAUACGCUCUGAGAAUAAAGCCGAUGUUCUGGGAUGUUGGCGCGUUCUAGAGACCCCUUUUAGGGGUAGCGAUGAGUAAGUUCGAGAUUUGCCGAGGCGCCGAGACCGCGUUUUAGAAUCCGAGCCCGAGACUUUAAGUCAAAUUUCGGAAUCCGUGUCCGAGCUUUUACUAGCUUGUGUUCGGACAUCAGAUAACUUGCUCGAGGUAUGUCAUAAACAUUAGUUGAAAAAGAAUAGCUAGAGCGGAAAGGCUUAAGACUCGAGACUCGAAAAAGAGGGAAACCCUUAGCAGUAACAACAUAAAACAGAUCGCGUUUAACAGAGACUCCGAGAACGUGGUACAAAAAGAGGCUCCACGAUCCUAAAAUGUCGUGGGGAAAAACGAGACUUCGAGACUUCCGUAAAAACGCCGAGAUUCCGAGACUUUGCGAAAUUUUUGCGAGAUUUUCGAAAUUUUAAGAAAGACAUGACAUAUUUGGUAUAGCGAAAAGAGAUUCUGGGAGAGCUGUGCAAA